RNAcentral lists this ribosomal RNA (345 nucleotides) under Triticum aestivum (bread wheat). RNAcentral describes it as "partial small subunit ribosomal RNA". The record is from RNAcentral. Lineage: Eukaryota; Viridiplantae; Streptophyta; Magnoliopsida; Poales; Poaceae.
AUGAGCGUACCAUCACGCCAAUGCUCCAGCACCCACUCGACGAGCGCUAUCUGUCCGCCCUACGCAUUCUCCUUGAUGGGUUUCUGUCCGCAUGCAACCUCAAGAAGGAAUAUGCCAAAGACGAGCAUGUCGGUCAGAGGGGACGCCCUGCCCGUGCGUAUCAACUCCGGAGCCAAGUAACCCAUGGUGUCGACCACGUGUGUGGUUUGCGAGUCCGCCCCAUGGUCGUACAGCCUUGCUAGCCCAAAGUCACCAAGCUGGGCGUUCAUGUCUUUGUCGAGGAGCACGUUGUUGGCCUUGAUGUCUCUGUGGAUGACAACUUUCUCCCACCUCUCAUGCAAAUAA